UACGGGGGAGCAAGCGUUGUUCGGAUUUACUGGGCGUAAAGGGCGCGUAGGCGGCCACUGCAAGUCAGUUGUGAAAUCUCCGGGCUUAACCCGGAAAGGUCAACUGAUACUGCAGGGCUAGAGUGCAGAAGGGGCAACUGGAAUUCUCGGUGUAGCGGUGAAAUGCGUAGAUAUCAGGAAGAACACCCGUGGCGAAGGCGGCUCUCUGGGACGGUACUGACGCUGAGACGCGAAAGCGUGGGGAGCGAACAGG
RNAcentral lists this ribosomal RNA (253 nucleotides) under uncultured bacterium. Its description in RNAcentral is "partial 16S ribosomal RNA". It matches the Rfam family "Bacterial small subunit ribosomal RNA", at positions 524 to 776 of the family's 1533-position model. The record is from RNAcentral.